Molecule: ribosomal RNA, 767 nt
Filed under: Dibothriocephalus latus
Lineage: Eukaryota; Metazoa; Platyhelminthes; Cestoda; Diphyllobothriidea; Diphyllobothriidae
Description: partial 16S ribosomal RNA
Rfam family: Bacterial large subunit ribosomal RNA (bases 566-767)
Source: RNAcentral
ACCGAAAAGUUUAGAUUUAAUUUUAAGUAAGCUAGUUUUGUAAAUACGAGUAGUAUAUUAAAACUUAAGAUUGGUUGUGAUAAAUAAGUCGUUAAACUUUAUAUCUGUUUGGGAAAAAGUUUGUUUUUAGAUUUAUUUGGUGAUGAUAUCAAGUAAAUAAAUAUAGCUAUAUUAAUAUGUAAAUGAGGAUAGGGUUAAAAUUACCUUUUUAUUGAGCGUAUGUUACAAUUGCUAAUUUUAUUUAUUAUUUAUAGCUUAUUAUUAAAAUUUCCCUAAAUUUAAUUAAGUGAAGUUAAUUAUCAUAUAAUAAGUAAUUAUAUUAGUCUCUUUGUUUUUCAUUUACAUCCCGUCUGUUUAUUAAAAACAUUUCCAUAUUAUUAACUUUAUAUGGUAGUACCUGCUCUAUGUGUUAUAAAUGGCCGCAGUAUCUUGACUGUGCGAAGGUAGCAUAAUUAAUUGUCUUUUAAAUGGGGGCUUGUUUGAAUGGUUUGACGAGGUUGUUUUUAACAUGGAGAUUUUUUUUUGAAAUUGAUGGUGUGAAUACAGAAUUUACAUUAUUUAAUUAGACGGAAAGACCCUAGGAUCUUUACAUAUUUUGCUUGGGGCAAGUAAAAAUAAUUUAUUUGUUUUUUGACCCUUGAUAAGUCUAUAGGUUUAAGUUACCCUAGGGAUAACAGAGUGAUAGUUUAUUAGAGUUCUUAUCGAUUAAACUGUUUGCUACCUCGAUGUUGACUUGGGUUAAUGUUCUGGCGCAGUAGUUAGAAGUU